This is a long non-coding RNA of Pseudoliparis swirei, 3069 nucleotides long. RefSeq lists it as uncharacterized. The transcript has 3 exons. The record is from RefSeq and is a predicted model, not a curated record. Lineage: Eukaryota; Metazoa; Chordata; Actinopteri; Perciformes; Liparidae.
CGUUGUUUCCACACACAGGUCGAAUCGUAUCGAUGAAAGUCAUCACACGAAUCAGAAGGAGGUUACGGACCCUUAAGGCUCAGCGUCAAGGAGACCAAAGUCACAGAGGACGACGCGAGGCUUUCAAUAUCCAAUCAAACUUCAGGAAUUAAAGAUGACGAGAGUUGCCACUUCCCUAUUGUCGUUCCCGACUCUUCACGUUCUGACACCGGCUCAGAGCCCUUUGGUUUCAUCUUCUCCUGCACUGGGUUCCCCCGGCUCGUCACUCUAUGACGGUCCACUGCUGCCAUAUCGUUAACAUGUGGAUUAACCCCCCAAAAAAGUAGUCACUUAGGACGAGGCAACAAAACCGCUUCGUGGAAAUUGCUAAGUGAGACUUGACAUAUUGAAAACAAGGACACAGAACACGGAACAUUGGGUGAAUACUUCGUGUUUUUGUUUUUCCCGUUCAUCAUUCCCCCCUCCCACUCGACCAACAUUUUUUUUUGGGGUCUUUAUACAAACGCCAGCACAUUCCCGGAGCGCUCGCUCUGAACGUCGAGAGCGAGAGGCGUUGAUCGAACAAAACUACAAGGCCAGUUUAUUUCUCUUGUUCGUGCAAAAGAAACAAUACAUCAGUCCAGGUCCUACAAAAAUAACAUGUCCUUUCCUUUAUGUGCUACAACUUACAUCAUGGGGCCAAAAAUCAGAAGCAUCUCCGAUCCAUUUGAGGUAUUUUAAACAUAUAAACCCACCAGUGUCCCACCCAGUCAGGAUGUGGCCUCAGUGAGUUAUGAGGUAGAAAAGCCUUGAGGAGCUUCUCGAUAGGCAGUUACAGUACACUCAUCAGCCUGUAAAUACAAUAAUCAAUACACUGAGUAGGGGGCUAGUUUCAAUAAUAAAAGUUCCUCUAGCAGAGGGCCUGUAGGAGAAUGCAAAAAAUUUAAGAAAAUGUGCUUUUGGUAUAUUAAAGUUGAACAAUCUAGACUUGCGGGAAGUGAGGAAGACAUUCUGAGACCUGCGUUACACAUUGUGCUAUCACUCAUUAUUUUUUACUUUCAGAUUGUGGUUAGUUGUAACAUUACAUAAAAUGCUCACACACUUAGAAAACAAAAUCUUCUAUUGUUGUUGCACUGAAUAUAGAGUCAUAAUUUAUCGAAUAGUUUCACCAUGAAUUAACAUGUUUGACCUCACACACCUCUUGAUGGUUUGACAGCAGGCCAUAUAUCCCGAGUACGAGUCUGAGGAUGUGAAGGUGUCACCUCGGACCGUUUUGCCGCCGGCGAGUCGUCCGGCAAGGACGAGGAGGAACGCCGACCUCCCUGCAGCUCGGAGCGACGCCGCCAUUCACGCGGUUGAAUUUGCAUAACUAUCCCUAACCUGCACAUAGUUAUUCAAAUAACCUUGAGUCGGCCAGUUGAAUGAGGUGUGACUCAUUAAUUGUGCAGUUUGUGCUCGAGCCCUUUCGACCGGGCCAAAGGGAACGCCCGGGGGGUGGCUCGGAAUUAGAUUCACAUAUUUUAGAGCUAUAAAACUCCUCGUUUGGUACUCGAAGCCGUGGGAAGAUGAAGUUACAAUGACAUGUGCAGAGCGAUAGCCAAUGAGCGACGCUUGCUUGGAUUGGGAGAUUUCAGGCGACGGUGGGUCAGUGGUCAGCUGGUCCGUCUUUCAAGCAGAGGGUUGGCGGUUCAACCCCCGCCCUAGUCGAUGUGUCCUUGAGCAAGGCACUUAACCCUGAGUUGUUCCCUGUAGCUGUGUCUAUGGGGUAUGAAUGUAACAUGAAGUAGGUGAAUGUGGAUAAAAGCGUGAGCUGAAUGUAAUCAGAAUCAGAAUCAGGUUUAUUGCCAAAGAAUGUUUUCACAAACAAACGAGGAACUUUUUUUGGCGGAAGGUGCAAGAUUCGCGCACCAAGACACCGAGUCGAUAAAACGUACCCUCACUAAUUCAUUGAUAGCCCCAACUAUCCUCACAGUGUUGUUAAUGUCGUGAUAACCCGAGGUGAUCAAUAUGCGGAUGGAGUUUCUUCACUUACUAUAGAUUAUAUUCAAUUAAUUUCAGUUUAUUUUGUAUAGCCCAAUAUCACAAAUUACAAAUUUGCCUCAAAGGGCUUUACAAUCUGUACACAUACGACUUCCUGACCUUUGACCUCACAUCGGAUCCGGAAAAACUUCCAAGAAAUAGAAAAAAACCUUCACGGGAGAAAAUAAAGGGAACACACCGUCAGGAGAGCAACAGAGGAGGAUCCCUCUCCAGGAUGGACAGAACAAUAGAUCCCAUUGGUUUCAUAUAUUUCUUUUUUUUAGCUGUCUACGGUGUAUGAUUUUAACAUGAUUGUAAGUCGCUUUGGAUAAAAGAGUCAACUAAAUGACAUGUAAUAUUAUUUCAUUCAAGAAUUAAAUAUGGCACGACGUCCUUCUUGAUAAAAAAAAGUUAAACAAGGAGACGCAAACUGAAUGAAUUUAGAUGCAUUUGUCACACACAAGCACACAAAUACAAUAACAUCAUGUUGACUCAUCAGACGAGGCCCGGUGACUAAUUUUCCUCCAUCGUGAAGGUUUUGUGUUAUUUUCCUUUUUUGAAACCGUUUUUCUAAAACCAUGUCAAAUGGUGAAUAAAGUUAUUCACUUUGCCUUUCGACAGCACGGCGGAUAUUACGAGGACGGCCAUCACAUAGGCGGACUUCCGAUUUGCAGGCGUUCUCCUGCCAGCAGCUCCUGAUUGAAAUGAAGGAAACCCGCUGAGUGUAAACAUCGUGGAGAGAAACGACAAAGCGUGGAGCUGAUUGGAGGGCUUAGACCGGAGGUUUAGGACACCAAUCAAUAGCAAGCACAAAUUACUACAAAUGGGUAACUCUUCACCACUGACUACACAUGUUGUUCACACUCUUUCACUCUGACUCCAUCGAGCACUCAAUCAAAAGUGAUUGUGGAACUUUAAACGCUCGUGGACGUGAAUGAACUGAUCCAUGAUUGUUUUUUGGGGGUUUAUCUCGCUAGCUUUUGCACAUUUGUCAUGUUUUCAGAAAACAGGGAUACGCUCAUAUCCCUUUAAGAGCAACCCCUAAAAGAGUAGACUGUUGUAUGUAUGGAC